ACUCUAAACCUUGGUUCUGGUGACUUAAAACUCAAAGGGAGAGGGACAAAGAGGAUCUACAUUUAAAUGUUUUUACUCGUUUCAUUGCAGAGAAGUCCCUCUCACAAUUAACGGAAGACACUUGUAUAAUCAGUGUGAUUGCUGCCAACUGUGAGGCCAGCUUUGUCAUUGCCGUCAGCUUGUCCAACCCCUGAAAUACAUGAAAAACUAAAAUAUGUACAACAUUAAACAAGAGCCAACAGAGUGGUAGUUCAACAGGAAAAAGUGUUGCGCAACAUUGGCCUAUAAUGUUCUCAUCAAAAGAUUGUCACACUCAUGCCAAUGCUUCAACUAGCACAUGUUGCUUGUAAAAGAGGGCCAGUCUUGCAGCACAGCAGCCCCUGGCUCUUCCAAGAACUGCCUGGAGAUGAGGGUUAGGUUAAAGGUGUUUAUUCUGCAUUACGAAAUCCUCGUCGACCCACUGUGCUGUCAGACUCAGCAUGCUCAUGGGGCUGACAUCGCUGGUCCAAAUGUAAUUCGUGAAGCUAAUAGCAGUGACGCCCAUAGCAAGUAGCUCAUGGAUGUGCGUUUCAACAAUACUGUGUAACUCCGGUAGGGCAACAUUUGAAAAAUAGUGCCUACUUGGUAGUAUGUACCGGUGCUCGAACCAGUUCGGUGAAAGUCUACAUCAUCCACGACAGAGAACGGUUGAUUGUCAAGGGCAAUGAAUUCCAUUAUCUUGGCGUUAACGGGUUUCGCCUUUGAGUUGUCUCGCUGAAAUGUUCUUAGUCUUUCAAAUGACUGCUUAACUUGAACAUGUUUAGUUGUUGGAAGUGUGCGCUUAGUUUUGUUAUGCUUUUGUUCUAAGUAGGGGGUUGAUGCACUUUCAAAUUAGUUAUUCGGUUUGUGGUAUUGAAAGAUUUCACUUUCUCCCCCCCUCUGGAAAUAUAUAUAUUUAUAUUUUCACCUUUAUUUAACCAGGUAGGCUAGUUGAGAACAACUUCUCAUUUGCAACUGCGACCUGGCCAAGAUAAAGCAUAGCAGUGUGAACAGACAACAACACAGAGUUACACAUGGAGUAAACAAUAAACAAGUCAAUAACAUAGUAGAAAAAAAAAUGUCUAUAUACAUUGUGUGCAAAAGGCAUGAGGUAGGCAAUAAAUAGGCCAUAGGAGUGAAUAAUUACAAUUUAGCAGAUUAACACUGGAGUGAUAAAUGAUCAGAUGAACAUGUGCAGGUAGAGAUACUGGUGUGCAAAAGAGCAGAAAAGUAAAUAAAAUAAAAACAGUAUUGGGAUGAGGUAGGUAAAUUGGGUGGGCUAUAUACCGAUGGACUAUGUACAGCUGCAGUGAUCGGUUAGCUGCUCAGAUAGCAGAUGUUUAAAGUUGGUGAGGGAGAUAAAAGUCUCUGUAAAUAAUAGCAGCACAAACGUUGCAUAUGGCCUUUUUGUUAUCUUCCUUUGAAACUUCAAAAUAGAUCCACACAGCUGACAUUGUGGGCUUGGCUAGGAAUGCUGUGUUGCAUGUGUAAUGCUGUAUUUUUUGUGGCGUCAUUAUGUCAUCUACAUACGUUAUAUAGGUACCCACGUCAGCUUUGACAUCGGUUUUGCACAUUGGCGUUAAACUAGACAUCGGGCUGAUGUUGGCGUUUGUUUCUAAUAUUGGCCAAUUCCGAUAUGCUUACCGAAAUACCGUGCAUCCCUAGAAAUAAUAGAAAAGUGAAACAUGUAAUAAUAGAUACACAAUGAGUAAUGAUAACAUGGCUAUAUACAAGGGGUACCAGUACCGAGUUGAUGUGCAGUGAUAUGAGGUAAUUGAGGUAUAUACUGUAUGUACAUAUAACUAGGAAUGAAGUGACCAAUAGUAAACAGUAGCAGCAGCGUAUGUGAUGAGUUUGUUCAGGUAACUAUUUAACUAACUAUUUAGCUUAUGGCUUGGGGGUAGAAGCUGUUCAGGGUCCUGUUGGUUUCAGAAUUAGUGCAUCAGUACCGCUUGCCGUGCGGUAGCAGAGAGAACAGUCGAUGGCUUGGGUGGUUGGAAUCUUUCUCUGACACCACCUGAUAUAGAGGUCCUGGUAUGGAGCUCGGCCCCAGUGAUGGGCCAUCUGCACUACCCUAGCGCCUUGCAGUGCCGUACCAAGCGGUGACGCAGCCAGUCAUGCUGUUCUCAAUGAUCCGCCAUGACUGCAGGCUGUAUUUUUACCUCUACAGUGUAGAGUCAACCAUGUGGUGAAAUAAAACAUUCCACAUUGUUCCUCAGAUUUAUGCAUCACUGGUGGGGAGCUAGUUUCUGGAUCAAAAUAUAUGCAAGUAAUGCUGUGACUUGGGAUUUGAUAUCUUUUUACAAUGAUUAUCACUGUCACUAGGCCGGAAUGAAGUGGAUAUUUAUAUCCUCUCAUGAGGAGGUCAAUGAGGUAUUGAGGUUGCAAGUUCAAAUCCCCGAGCUGACAAGGUACAAAUCUGUCGUUCUGCCCCUGAACAGGCAGUUAACCCACUGUUCCUAGGCCGUCAUUGAAAAUGAGAAUUUGUUCUUAACUGACUUGCCUAGUUAAAUAAAGGUAAAAUUUUAAAAAUAAUUUUAUUAAUUUGCUUGAUCUAAUAAUUUCAUACAUGUGUAUUCACAGGUGAUGCGUGUGUUUCUCUUUCAACUUGAUGCAUGCUAUUUGAGUCUGGGUGUACAACAGCUCUUUUCAGGGUCCAGUUUGUGAUCCCCAAAAAUGUAUUUGUAGUGACUUUCUUCUUGUGAGUUUCACUUAUUUUUUUGUGCUGUCUACUAACUUUCCUGACGGUUUGAAUAUUUAUGAAACAUUAUGAUAAUCUUUGGCUCUGCUCCUUAUGUUUAUUCACAGAUCCUCUGCUUGAAACAGUUACGGGAUGUGAAGUCUGAUUCUGUCCUCAACUUGUUGACCUGCCUUGAGGAUGUUGGACACCACUGUUGCACCUUCAGCCAUGACUUCUUUUCAUGUCAGUCGAUGGGCUGACUGACCUCAAGGCGCAGAAGGUGUUUUAAGUUUAGGUAUAGGAGGAGGUCUGGUGCAGUGGGGUGUUCCAGGUCCGCAACACUUGAGGAGAAAACAUCUUAAUCAUGAUGGUAAGGUCAUCUGCUUGCCAUACUAGAGAGACACACUCUGUUUCCAUCCUCAACUUGCGGACCUGCCCUGAGGAUGUUAUACACCACUGUUGCGCCUACAGUCAUGUUGAUUUCCGACUGGUUGUCUUUGGACUACAUGCCAUGGGCUGACUGACCUGAACAGAAAUACAAUAUUCAUCACUUUCCUCAUAUUGGACUACUCUGAUUAGUUAUGAGGUAACAGGAAAUAGACUCAUUACUCAUAAAUCAUUGCAGCUCACUUGACUGUGGAUAGCAGAGCUCUCUGGUGUUUCACCAUUUGAAAUUAAACAACAAAAAUGUAAAUUACCAUUGUUUUACACUUCUGACAUAUCGCAGCAGUAAGAGUAGUAUUCUACCUGACUCAUAAACAACAUCCUUGAGUGUUUCGUUGAUUAAUGUAUCUUUAUAAGAUUGUAUUCCUUUUUACCUGUAAAAAACCUGUAGACAUGCAUGAUCCUGUAAAUAUUUACAAGGAACAUAAAUCUCACUACUUGGUAUUUUUAUAUGGGGAUUGUGAAAAAUAUAUUUAAUGUAGUUUUGUAUGGUAAUUGUAAAUCAAAUUUGUUUUCAUUGGACUAGUCCAUAAGAAUUUUGUUAGGAUUUGUUUGUCUUCAACAACUGUUCUUAAUUAUGCCACCUUUUUUGUCCAAUUAUCUCCACGUAAUUACAGCCAUCUUUUCCAUUCUUGGUUAUCUGCCUCUGUAGCCUUUAUUUAAAGUUUUAUUUUUUGUAUUACUUUGUUAUUUUUAUUGCUACUCUCUUCACAUGGAGAUGUUAGUUAUGGGAUGAUGAUUCCAAUUUGGCAACAGGUGCUUGGAUAGUUGGGAUUAAAUAAGUAUUGUUACGGAAAUACAAAAUGUCAAUAUCGGUCUCACUUUAAACCAAGUACAAGUACUACAUUCACAAAUCAUCUAUAAGUGUUUGUCAUACUCUAUGAAGGGUUACAUACCCAUUUCCACUGUAGAGUGAAUUGCCAACUGUGACAUAACUCAAUAUGUAUGUUCACACACCAUCUGUAGAGUAUGACAUGGUUAUAGACUAUUUGUGAAGUGUUUAUGUAGUGUUUAUGAAGCCUUUAUGAAUGCUAUUUAAUGCCUUUAUAAGUUGUACCUACAAUUAUAAAUACUAGUAUUAAUAGACUA
This is a long non-coding RNA of Oncorhynchus nerka (sockeye salmon), 4231 nucleotides long. RefSeq lists it as uncharacterized. The record is from RefSeq and is a predicted model, not a curated record. NCBI's taxonomy places the organism in Eukaryota, Metazoa, Chordata, Actinopteri, Salmoniformes, Salmonidae. The transcript has 3 exons.